This is a long non-coding RNA of Limulus polyphemus (Atlantic horseshoe crab), 931 nucleotides long. RefSeq lists it as uncharacterized. The record is from RefSeq and is a predicted model, not a curated record. Lineage: Eukaryota; Metazoa; Arthropoda; Merostomata; Xiphosura; Limulidae. The transcript is spliced from 2 exons.
UUUUAAUCUUAAACAGAUGGGUGUUAUUUAAAUAUUGUCUUUUUGUGUGGCUGUAGAUGCUUGGAAUGUAUUUAUGUUACCUUAUUAUUUUGUUCCUUAGGCUCAAUCUGAAGAGGACUUAGAAGAAUACCCCUGGUGGCAGUCAUUAAAAUACCUUAUUUCCAUUCAGUAUCAACCUAGUGGUGCAGGCUGGAACAGAAUGGACAGAGAUCUAAGGUCGUGCAUCAUUAAUGACUAGUGUUUCAUACUGUAGUCUCUGAAGAUGUUUGCUAGGUUGUACUAAACUAGAGAUGUAAGGAGGACUUGAAUGGACAGUAACCAAGGGAUUUGUAUCAUCGGCAAUCGAUGUUUACUCCUUUUUUACUUUAGUGUUUGUAUUUUUUGUGGUAUUGAUCUGGAGCUUCAUUGGUUAGUGAUAUGCUUUGUUAAACAAUAAACAUUCACACCACCCCUAAGGUCAUCUGGAUUUUUAAGUAAAUAUUCACACCAACCCCUAAGGUCAACUGGAUUUUUAAGUAAAUAUUCACACCAUCCUUAAUGCCAUCUGGAUUUUUAAAUAGACAUUCACACCACCCACUAAGGUCAUCUGGAUUUUUAAAUAAACAUUCACACCAACCGCUAAGUUCAUCUGGAUUUUUAAGUAAACAUUCACACCACCCCCUAAAGUCAUCUGGAUUUUUAAAUAAACAUUCACACCACUCCCUAAGAUCAUCUGGAUUUUUAAAUAAACAUUCACACAACCCCCUAAGGUCAUCUGGAUUUUUGAAUAAAUAUUCACACCAUCCUUAAUGUCAUCCAGAUUUUUAGAUAAAUAUUCACUCCCAUCCUCAAUGUCAUCCAGAUUUUUAUAUAAAUAUUCACACCAACUCCUAAGAUCAUUUGGAUCACCAAAUAAACAUUCACACCACACUCUACAUUUAUCUAUAUUUCU